Molecule: ribosomal RNA, 1347 nt
Filed under: metagenome
Description: bacterial LSU rRNA
Rfam family: Bacterial large subunit ribosomal RNA
Source: RNAcentral
UGAGUACGAGCUGCUACGGCAGCGAAGUGGGUGAUGUCAAGCUUCCAAGAAAAGCCCUAUACCCGUUAAGGCAUGACGGCCUGUACCCGAAACCGACACAGGUGGGGUGGUAGAGAAUACCGAGGGGCGCGAGAUAACUCUCUCUAAGGAACUCGGCAAAAUGGCCCCGUAACUUCGGGAGAAGGGGUGCCACCGCAAGGUGGUCGCAGUGAAGAGGCCCAGGCGACUGUUUACCAAAAACACAGGUCUCCGCUAAGUCGCAAGACGAUGUAUGGGGGCUGACGCCUGCCCAGUGCCGGAAGGUUAAGGAAGCUGGUCAGCGCAAGCGAAGCUAGCGACUGAAGCCCCGGUGAACGGCGGCCGUAACUAUAACGGUCCUAAGGUAGCGAAAUUCCUUGUCGGGUAAGUUCCGACCCGCACGAAAGGCGUAACGAUCUGGGCGCUGUCUCGGAGAGAGGCUCGGCGAAAUAGAAUUGUCUGUGAAGAUGCGGACUACGUGCACCCGGACAGAAAGACCCUAUGAAGCUUUACUGUAGCUUGGUAUUGUGUCCGGGCUCUGAAUGCGCAGGAUAGGUGGGAGGCUUUGAUCCAUUGCUUGUGGGUAAUGGUGAGCCACUGGUGAGAUACCACUCUUUCAGAGCUAGGGUUCUAACGGUCACCCGUUAUCCGGGGACCGGACAGUAUCAGGUGGGCAGUUUGACUGGGGCGGUCGCCUCCUAAAAGGUAACGGAGGCGCGCAAAGGUUCCCUCAGGCUGGUUGGAAAUCAGCCGACGAGUGUAAAGGCAGAAGGGAGCUUGACUGUGAGACCUACAAGUCGAACAGGGACGAAAGUCGGCCUUAGUGAUCCGACGGUUCUGAGUGGAAGGGCCGUCGCUCAACGGAUAAAAGUUACUCUAAGGAUAACAGGCUGAUCUCCCCCAAGAGUUCACAUCGACGGGGAGGUUUGGCACCUCGAUGUCGGCUCAUCGCAACCUGGGGCUGAAGUCGGUCCCAAGGGUUGGGCUGUUCGCCCAUUAAAGCGGUACGCGAGCUGGGUUCAGAACGUCGUGAGACGGUUCGGUCCAUAUCCGGUGCACGCGCAGGAACAUUGAGGGGAUUUCUCCCUAGUACGAGAGGACCGGGAGGAACGCACCUCUGGUGUACCAGUUAUCGUGCCAACGGUAAACGCUGGGUAGCCAUGUGCGGAGCGGAUAACCGCUGAAAGCAUCUAAGUGGGAAGCCCACCUCAAGAUGAGUGUUCCCAUGGCAUAAGCCAGUAAGGUCACGGGAAGAACACCCGUUGAUAGGCUCUACGUGGAAGCGUGGCAACACGUGAAGCGGAGGAGUACUAAUAGACCGAGGGCUUG